CCUACUCUUGACAUCCAGAGGAACUUAGCAGAGAUGGUUUGGUGCCUUUCGGGAACUCUGAGACAGGUGCUGCAUGGCUGUCGUCAGCUCGUGUUGUGAAAUGUUGGGUUAAGUCCCGCAACGAGCGCAACCCUUAUCCUUUGUUGCCAGCGGUCCGGCCGGGAACUCAAAGGAGACUGCCAGUGAUAAACUGGAGGAAGGUGGGGAUGACGUCAAGUCAUCAUGGCCCUUACGAGUAGGGCUACACACGUGCUACAAUGGCGCAUACAAAGAGAAGCGAACUCGCGAGAGCAAGCGGACCUCAUAAAGUGCGUCGUAGUCCGGAUUGGAGUCUGCAACUCGACUCCAUGAAGUCGGAAUCGCUAGUAAUCGUAGAUCAGAAUGCUACGGUGAAUACGUUCCCGGGCCUUGUACACACCGCCCGUCACACCAUGGGAGAGGGUUGCAAAAGAAGUAGGUAGCUUAACCUUCGGGAGGGG
Molecule: ribosomal RNA, 479 nt
Filed under: Enterobacter sp. 126
Lineage: Bacteria; Pseudomonadati; Pseudomonadota; Gammaproteobacteria; Enterobacterales; Enterobacteriaceae
Description: bacterial SSU rRNA
Rfam family: Bacterial small subunit ribosomal RNA
Source: RNAcentral